GGGCCCGCACAAGCGGAGGAACAUGUGGUUUAAUUCGAUGAUACGCGAGGAACCUUACCCGGGCUUGAAAUGCAGAAGAAUAACGUUGAAAGAUGUUAGCCAGCAAUGGCUUCUGUGUAGGUGCUGCAUGGUUGUCGUCAGCUCGUGCCGUGAGGUGUCGGCUUAAGUGCCAUAACGAGCGCAACCCACAUUGUUAGUUACUAACAGGUCAAGCUGAGGACUCUAACAAGACUGCCGUCGUAAGAUGCGAGGAAGGUGUGGAUGACGUCAAAUCAGCACGGCCCUUACGUCCGGGGCGACACACGUGUUACAAUGGGUGGUACAAAGGGCAGCUACUUGGUGACAAGAUGCUAAUCUCCAAAGCCACUCCCAGUUCGGAUCGGAGUCUGCAACUCGACUCCGUGAAGCUGGAUUCGCUAGUAAUCGCGCAUCAGCCAUGGCGCGGUGAAUACCG
Molecule: ribosomal RNA, 454 nt
Filed under: uncultured Bacteroidales bacterium
Lineage: Bacteria; Pseudomonadati; Bacteroidota; Bacteroidia; Bacteroidales
Description: bacterial SSU rRNA
Rfam family: Bacterial small subunit ribosomal RNA
Source: RNAcentral